GGGGAUGUAAUGGUUUCGACAUAUUAUUCGAAAAAUGAAUAGCAAGUAGUGGAUUCUCGUUGGCCACUUUAAAAAACGGGAAAUUAAAAAUAAACGCAGAAAAUAAUAAUGAGUACGCUUUAGCUGCCUAAUUGCAGCUACGCUUUGCUAAAUGUUCCUACGCAUUUAGAUAAAGUGUCAUAUUUGUAGGAAACAAAGCCAUUAUUGCUUUUAUGAUGGUGGGUAUUUUAAAAAGCUAUAUUUUAAUUAAACCUGUUUGUUGGUGUAAUUAAAAUGAAUAUAAAAAACAAACUAAACUUGUAGAGAUUCAUUUGGAAGAUAUUAUGGACAGGAGUUCGACUCUCCUCAUCUCCACCA
Molecule: transfer-messenger RNA, 357 nt
Filed under: Clostridia
Lineage: Bacteria; Bacillati; Bacillota
Also listed under: 2 other names
Description: CAG-269 sp900553985 Standard tmRNA
Rfam family: transfer-messenger RNA
About the family: Bacterial tmRNA, also known as 10Sa RNA or SsrA, is named for its dual tRNA and mRNA-like properties. Its role is to liberate the mRNA from a stalled ribosome. To accomplish this part of the tmRNA is used as a reading frame that ends in a translation stop signal.
Source: RNAcentral